AUGCUAGUUAAAGUAGUAUCAAGCCGCUUUGCGUCAAAGUUGGAGAUUUCCAGUGAGGUAAAGGGGGCGUGGCCACACUCCUCGUGGGCGUGGCCAGUUCCAGAGUGGGCGUGGCCAACCACCAAUGUUUACCUGAACUCCAGCUCCACUCCCGCUGCUGGAACUCGCAACAUCUUUAUGACUUGUUGGAAUCGCCACUUUAAUAGCUACAAUCUCAACCAUAUAACACCCUUGAGUUUCGAGAAGAUUUCCCAUCUGUUUUGUAUCACCAGGAAGAGAUGUUGAACCCUAGAAAAAGAGGGGUACAGGACUUGAAUCACUCCUAAGACUGGGUGAAGAGGUGAACUUGAUGAAGUAAGCUGCUUUGAACCUCCUUGUUGAGAGAAAAACCAGGGUAUAAAUACAAAUAAUAACAACAACAGCAGCAACAGCAACAACAGCAGCAACAACAACAACAACAAUUUAUUCCCUCAAAAAUAAUCAAGAAAAACUAGACCAGAACUCCUGUGUAGUUGAGGGUCCCAGUCAGAAGUGUAUUGAAUGAUCAAACACAAAAAGAUUAAGACAACUAUUAAUAGUUGAGUUCUCACAGAGUAACUUCAGCUGUAUAUGUUCUAUCUGUUUUCAUCUACUGGAAGGUAAACUCUCCUGAAUACACAGAGGGGACUUCUAAGUAGGAUUGUGCUAAGAAAUAUAUUCAUAGUCAACACUGAUGGAAUAAUCAUGGAAUUGGAAAAGUAAUUCACCCUUCCACUGACUAUAAUAGCUCUUGUGAUGACCUGAAUGGAGAAUCCUGCUCAUAGAAGAAGUUAGUCUGUCCUGCCUGCAGCAGCCUUAGAAAAUACCUUUAUCUUUUUAGUUGCUUUACUGAGCCAAUGUGGGCUCACUUCCUAGAGCCAGAAAUGAAGAGGAAGACCUUGAAACAGCCUUUUUAUCGUGUGCUCUGGAAUAAAAUAUGAAGAAGACCUAUUGGACAUCGUGGCCUGAAUCCUCCACAAAAUAUGUAUUUUUAGUGAUUGGUUUGCACUUUGUAUAUGUUCUGGAGGUAAUUUAUCUAAACACUUUCAGAACUCAUGCCUCCUUGCUCUAGGUUUUGUGAUGUUCUUAUGCCUAACAUAGGUAAAUUAAGAUUGUAUUUAUAUAUUGAUAUGCCAUGUGUAAGCCAUUCACUUUUUAAAACUAAAAUUUAUUUUUUGUCCUUUUGUCACAAUGGCAUCGUGAUCAACAUGAUGGUAAUGCCUCAGUUGACAAAGUCUCUGACAGAAAUGUUCCUUUUCAACAAAUCUUAUUAUGUCUUCUGAGCCACCUUUUCCUCCUCACCCAGGUUUCUGUUAAAGAAGCAAUGCCCAUGACUUGUCUACUUUUUUUUAACCUGAGGAAUGCCUGGACAUUCAUGUCACUGAUAUGAGAAAACCAAAAGGCUGAAUUAACUAAGGAUUUGACUUCCUGAAGGAAUCCAAAAGCUGAAUUGUUUUGCUUCUUUCUUAUUUGGCCUGUUAGGUAGUGGUAGUGGUUAUUAUUAGUGCUAUUUGUUGUUUUUCUUCAUUAUAAUGCCACAUAGUCUGUAUUUCCAUGCCUUUAAAAUGUACCAGCAAAUAGGUAACCUUCAUGACAACUUGCCAAAAAGUUCAAGGCUGGCAUUUGAAUACCUCCUACUCUGUGUUUUCAUUUUUUUAAUGUACCUGCUACUACAAGAUACAAAGGAAUGGGUAGACUGAUCUGAAACUUUACUUUUUCAUCUGAUCUGAAACUUUGCAUUUCUAUUUACUGUUUAGAUUAGAUAAAAGACUGGGUUUUGUUGAGUAAUACUAGGAUGUUGGCACUGGAGGGACAUGUUCUGGGAUAUGGUUGGGAUGGUUACAUGUGGUAAGACAAAGUGAAAGUGAAUGUGGACUUUAAAAAUAAUUAUGUUAGACACGCCCUAUUAUGAAUAUGGGAGAGGUAUAAAUUAAUCUUAUGCCCGAAGGCGCCAAGAAGCAUUUUAUAGAAAAGAGACACAAGGCAAGAUGAAAUGGCUAACUUGUCAAGAUUUCCUAGAAAAUGUACAAGGAGAAUAUAGGAUUAAAACAAGGACUGAAAACAAUUGCAGAGGGGUUUGGUUUUUAGUGGUUUCUUAUUUACAGUUAAUGAGAGAUUCAUCCAAGACAAGAAAUUUGCUGGUUUUGAACUGAGUAAAUCAGAAUUUGAGUUGCAAUUAUGUACUAAUUAUAAACAUUUAAUUUCUGAAAUGUAUAAGAUGUUAUUGAAAUGAAAAAUGGCAGACAAGCAAGUUAAAGAAUGCAUGACAAAGUGGACACAAAAUGUGGAUCAAUGGGAGAAAAUAAGGAACAAGGGGUUACAAGUUUACGUUAUGUUAUAAUUUGAAAGAUUUUUUUAUAAAAUGAUGUAUCAAUGAUAUAUGACUUCUGAAAAGUUUUUGAAGAUAUCUAAAAAGGCUUCCAACACUUGUUGAAAAUGUAAACAGCAAGUGGGACCAUUCUAUAAUAAGUGGUGGGCAUGUAAACAUGCCAAGAAAUAUUGGAUGCAAAUACAUAAGGUGAUCCAGAAAGUUUUUGGGGAAAAUAUCCAGUUAAAACCUGAGACUUUUCUACUUGGUCAGAUUGAUACAAAUGGCCAUGAUAGACUGUUGCAAUGUAUGAUCACAGUAGCCAGAUUGUAUGUAUUUAAAAACACAAACAAAGUUAAAAACUUGGCAUUAUACUAAAUGUCCUUUGACCAGAAGCUGGCCACUUGGAUUACCUCUGGUUUUGCUAUAAGGAGGUCCUCCGUUUUGCAUGGGGCAGGGAUCGGGCUGCAUUGUAAUAGCUGGUUUGUGGUUUGCUCUUCUCCACAGUCACAUGUCGUGGACUCCACUUGGUGGCCCCUUUUCUUAAGGUUGGCUCAACAUCUUGUGGUGCCAGAGCCCAGUCUGUUCAGUGCCUUCCAAGUUGCCCAGUCUCUGUGUGCCCUGGGGGGAGUCUCUCAUUCGGUAUCAGCCAUGGGUUGAGGUUCUGGGUUUUAGCCUGCCACUUUUGGACUCUCACUUGCUGAGGUGUUCCUGUGAGUAUCUCUGUAGAUCUUAGGAAACCAUUUCUUCAUUUAAGGUGUUGGUGUGCUAGCUGUUAUCCAGAGGAUGGGCCCGAGAUGUCACUGCCUUGGUCCUUUCAUUAUUAGCUGCUACUUCCUGGCGGGUGUCAGGUGGUGCAAUACCAGCUAAGCAAUAUAAUUUCUCCAGUGGUGCAGGAGAAAAUAUAAUUUCUCCAGUGGACAGGGAGCUCUGGCGUGGACUGGUCCAUGAGGUCACGAAGAGUCGGAAACGACUAUGCGACAGAGAGAGAGAGUGAGUAGGGCGUAGACAUCCUGUGAUAAUGUGGCAUGUCUCAUUAAGAGCCACAUCCACUGUUUUAAGGUGGUGAGAGGUAUUCCACACUGGGCACGCAUACUCAGCAGCAGAGUAGGAAAGUGAAAAGACAGAUGUCUUCACUGUAUCUGGUUGUGAUCCCCAGGUUGUGCCAGUCAGCUUUCAUAUGAUGUUUCUAGCGCCCACAUUUUGC
Molecule: long non-coding RNA, 3533 nt
Filed under: Anolis carolinensis (green anole)
Lineage: Eukaryota; Metazoa; Chordata; Lepidosauria; Squamata; Anolidae
Description: lncRNA (ENSACAG00000043419.1)
Source: RNAcentral